This 443-nucleotide ribosomal RNA is filed under the name uncultured bacterium. RNAcentral describes it as "partial 16S ribosomal RNA". It matches the Rfam family "Bacterial small subunit ribosomal RNA", at positions 338 to 795 of the family's 1533-position model. The record is from RNAcentral.
CCUACGGGUGGCAGCAGUGGGGAAUAUUGCACAAUGGUGGGGACCCUGAUGCAGCAACGCCGCGUGAAGGAGGACGGUUUUCGGAUUGUAAACUUCUAUCUAUCGGGAAGCAAGAAAUGACGGUCCCUCACUAAUAAGCCCCGGCUAACUACGUGCCAGCAGCCGCGGUAAUACGUAGGGGGCAAGCGUUAUACGGAAUUACUGGGUGUAAAGGGAGAGUAGGCGGCAAGGUAAGCGAUAUGUGAAAGCCUUAGGCUUAACCUGAGGAUUGCAUAACGAACUAUCUAGCUAGAGUACAGGAGAGGAAAGCGGAAUUCGUAGUGUAGCGGUGAAAUGCGUAGAUAUUAGGAAGAACACCAGUGGCGAAGGCGGCUUGCUGGACUGAAACUGACGCUGAGGCUCGAAAGCGUGGGGAGCGAACAGGAUUAGAUACCCGUGUAGUC